RNAcentral lists this ribosomal RNA (465 nucleotides) under uncultured bacterium. RNAcentral describes it as "partial 16S ribosomal RNA". It matches the Rfam family "Bacterial small subunit ribosomal RNA", at positions 338 to 795 of the family's 1533-position model. The record is from RNAcentral.
CCUACGGGGUGCAGCAGUGGGGAAUAUUGCGCAAUGGGCGAAAGCCUGACGCAGCGACGCCGCGUGAGGGAUGAAGGUCUUCGGAUCGUAAACCUCUGUCAGCAGGGAAGAACGGUCACUGUGCUAAUCAGCAGUGAAUUGACGGUACCUGCAAAGGAAGCACCGGCUAACUCCGUGCCAGCAGCCGCGGCAAUACGGAGGGUGCGAGCGUUAAUCGGAAUUACUGGGCGUAAAGCGCUCGUAGGCGGUAUGUCAAGUCAAGGGGGAAAUCCCCGCGCUCAACGUGGGAACUGCCUUUGAAACUGGCAAACUGGAGUGUGUGAGAGGAUAGUGGAAGUCCAGGUGUAGGAGUGAAAUCCGUAGAGAUCUGGGGGAACAUCAGUGGCGAAGGCGACUAUCUGGCACAUAACUGACGCUGAGGAGCGAAAGCGUGGGUAGCAAACAGGAUUAGAUACCCGAGUAGUC